GACGAACGCUGGCGGCGUGCUUAACACAUGCAAGUCGAACGGAAAGGCCCUGCUUUUGUGGGGUGCUCGAGUGGCGAACGGGUGAGUAACACGUGAGUAACCUGCCCUUGACUUUGGGAUAACUUCAGGAAACUGGGGCUAAUACCGGAUAGGAGCUCCUGCUGCAUGGUGGGGGUUGGAAAGUUUCGGCGGUUGGGGCUGGACUCGCGGCUUAUCAGCUUGUUGGUGGGGUAGUGGCUUACCAAGGCUUUGACGGGUAGCCGGCCUGAGAGGGUGACCGGCCACAUUGGGACUGAGAUACGGCCCAGACUCCUACGGGAGGCAGCAGUGGGGAAUAUUGCACAAUGGGCGGAAGCCUGAUGCAGCAACGCCGCGUGCGGGAUGACGGCCUUCGGGUUGUAAACCGCUUUCGCCUGUGACGAAGCGUGAGUGACAGUAAUGGGUAAAGAAGCACCGGCUAACUACGUG
Molecule: ribosomal RNA, 468 nt
Filed under: uncultured bacterium
Lineage: Bacteria
Description: partial 16S ribosomal RNA
Rfam family: Bacterial small subunit ribosomal RNA
Source: RNAcentral